Molecule: ribosomal RNA, 735 nt
Filed under: Pristimantis lojanus
Lineage: Eukaryota; Metazoa; Chordata; Amphibia; Anura; Strabomantidae
Description: partial large subunit ribosomal RNA
Rfam family: Bacterial large subunit ribosomal RNA
Source: RNAcentral
UUUUUAUUAAUUUAAAACUCCCUAUCGACCCCUUUAAUUUUACUGAGAAUUUCUAUAUUAUAUAGAACAUUUUAUGCUAAAACUAGUAACAAGAGAUAAACCUCUCCCAAUGCAAACAUAAGCCAGCAAGAACCCAUCACCGGCAACUAACAGACAAACAAAGUAGCAACAUCACUAGAAAACCCUACUCUAACAACUGUUAACCUAACACCAGAGCAUUUCAAGAAAGAUUAAAAGAAAAAGAAGGAACUCGGCAAACACUAAUCCCGCCUGUUUACCAAAAACAUCGCCUCUUGCCCCUAUAAGAGGUCAAGCCUGCCCAGUGACUUUGUUCAACGGCCGCGGUAUCCUAACCGUGCGAAGGUAGCGUAAUCACUUGUCUUUUAAAUGGAGACUAGUAUGAAAGGCGUCACGAGGAAUAAACUGUCUCCUUUUUCCAAUCAGUGAACCUAAUCUCCCCGUGAAGAAGCGGGAAUUAUCUUAUAAGACGAGAAGACCCUAUGGAGCUUAAAACAUUAUAACAUCUGCCAACCAAUGGCACUUUGAUUUUAUGUUUUCGGUUGGGGUGACCGCGGAGAAAAACUAAUCCUCCACGAUGAUAAGGAAAUCUUUCCUAAACAAUAAGCUACAUCUUUAUGUAUCAAUAAAUUGACAUCCAUUGACCCAAUAAUUUGAUUAACGAACCAAGUUACCCUAGGGAUAACAGCGCAAUCCACUUUAAGAGCCCCUAUCGAC